This is a small nuclear RNA of Mustela erminea (ermine), 145 nucleotides long. RefSeq annotates it as U4 spliceosomal RNA. The transcript has a single exon. NCBI's taxonomy places the organism in Eukaryota, Metazoa, Chordata, Mammalia, Carnivora, Mustelidae. The record is from RefSeq and is a predicted model, not a curated record.
AGCUUUGCGCAGUGGCAGUAUCAUAGCCAAUGAGGUUUAUCCAAGGCGCGAUUAUUGCUCAUUCAAAAAUAAAAUACAGAAGUAAAAAAAGAUUGCAGAGCAGUAGAUAUAAUAAUUUGUAAAUUACAUAAAACAUUGCAUAUGU